GCUGUGAGGUGAAUAGACUGUCACAGAAUAAGAGAGAAAUGUGCACUAAAACAGAUUUAGACAGAUUUGUGGACAUUGUUCAAGCCCACCUUCAAGACUUCACGUGGGAGGAGGCCCAAGUUCAAGCCAGGCGCUAACGUUAACCCGCCUUACUCUCUCUGUCAACGAAGUGGCACAUCAAGAAGAAGAUAGUGCAUGAUGACGGAUGAAAAUGAAAGUCUGGCAGGUUUGCUUGCCACUGCUGGCACUGUGACGAUUGCCUGAGGCUGUAACAGACACCAACUGCAGGGGCAUGACCCUCAGCAAGUGCCCCCUGCCCAGCAAGGCGGAUCGGAGCUUCUGUCAAAACAGCAGUGUGGCUGCAAACCCCAAGCUGUGAAUGUCAGUUGGCCUUGUCUGAAAAGCAACAAAUGGCAGCUGAAGGUCGACUUCGAAAGGCUACUCAAAUUCACAGAAAGCAUCCACAGCCUUGUGUAAUCCAGGGCCAACAGAAAACCCAGAUCAACAGGCGGGCCCUGUUGGCGGGCUUCCCCCUAAUCUGCUUCAUCUUCCCAUGCGAACAACUAAUCCUUUUAUUUGUACUGUUGUGAAACAGAGACGGGAUCAUGCAGCUUCCUGUCAGCUACUUCGAUCACUUUCCAUGUUGACUGUCUUGUCUUGUAUAGAUUUGAGCAGCAAAUGUAUUCAAAUAGACAUUGCAUUUUAAUUAUUACAGCAAUAUUUUUUCUUGCUCGCCAGAAAUACAAAUUACUGUUUCACCCAUAGACUUCAAUAGAUGACCAAUCCAUUUGGAGUGGAAGAGUUGGAAGAAAAUAUUUGAAAUCACUCCAGUUUUCUUUGUGACUGAGAAAGACUGGCACACAACUAUGACUCUACUUUCUUGAACUUUGCUCCACUCUCCCAAAUUUUGACAAAAAUAAUUUGGAACUUUUAUCUAAUUGGAAUGUAUGACUCGUUUCAUUGAUUCUUGCACAUUGAGUAUACUUUUUACGCGUAGCUUUGAUUUACAUACUAGUAUAUUCUAUUGCUGCUAAAUACGGUACUGUAAUUAAUAACAAUCAAUGCAUACACUACAACAAGAUUUUUUUUUCAACUUGC
Long non-coding RNA from Corythoichthys intestinalis (scribbled pipefish), 1098 nucleotides. RefSeq lists it as uncharacterized. The record is from RefSeq and is a predicted model, not a curated record. The transcript has 4 exons. NCBI's taxonomy places the organism in Eukaryota, Metazoa, Chordata, Actinopteri, Syngnathiformes, Syngnathidae.